This 998-nucleotide long non-coding RNA is filed under the name Gossypium raimondii (Peruvian cotton). RNAcentral's name for it is "long non-coding RNA (GRAI_LNC001272)". The record is from RNAcentral. Lineage: Eukaryota; Viridiplantae; Streptophyta; Magnoliopsida; Malvales; Malvaceae.
GACUUAAGGGGAAAAUUAACUAUAAAGUACAUGUCAUAUUAAAAAUUGUGUCCAGAAAUUUAUAUAUGUAUUUUUAAAUUUAAUAAAGAAAUUUUCUAAUAAUUAUUUUAAGACAAUUUUUAACAAUUGACAGGUGGAUAAAAGCACAAUUUACAUGCCUAUUUUCUAGUGGUUAAAAUGGACGGUGGCUGCCCCUAAUUAAUGAGUAAAACAAGAGUCAAAGAAGAAACAAAACAGAGCAGCUCAGCAGCAUGCCAAUUGCCAAAUCAAUAAAGCCACAAUCCAAAACAAAAAACAGAAAAAAUAAAAGAAAAUGAAACGAUUCUUUUCUUUCUAAUCUAUUCCCUAACCCUAACAAGUAACACCCUAACCAGUAGCCUCCAAGGCUCCAAAAGUCUCCAACUCAUCUCAACAAAAAUGGCCGAAUCUCUAUCUCUACUGCUGUUGAAACUUCAAGCUUCAAAUGGUGUCCUCAAUAGUUAAUUCUAAAGAACAUAUUUGCACUGCACUGCAGAUUCAAGACAAACAAGCAAAAAUCAAGACAAAAUUUCAGGUACUACUUACUUGAAAAUUAUCGAUCUCUGAAGUCUGAAUGUGCAAGUGAUUAGGGCAGGCCGGCAGGGUUUGCUUUUCAGAUUCAAGUCCUCGGCAGUCGGCUCCUCCUUGCUUUCAUCUGCUGCUUGUUGUUUGCCCAUAUAUAAGAAACAGAAUUUCAUAUUUCUUUUUCUAUUGCUUUUGAGUUUUGAAACUUUUGAUUACUUUUUUCUGUUUUUUUUACUUCUUUUUAGUUUUUUUGAUUGAAAGCUCUCUGAUUUUGCACUUUGCGGGUAGGGGAAUAUAUUCCCUUUUGUUUUUCAUUGUUUCUGUUGAUAUUUUUGUUUGAGGGGAUGACUUUUUUUUAACUUACUGUAACGGAAAAUAACGGGAAUAGCGGCCCGUUAUUGCCGCAAUUGGCCGUUACCCGUUAAAUUGCAGCCGCGACCCACCGCUAUUGGCGU